AUGGCGCCAGGAGCUCGAAUCCCUGCCUCACGCACUCCUCCUCGUCAUCCUUCGUCGCCUGGAGUCGCCGGGAGCCCGCGCCAAGUUCGCCGUCACCGCUCCUCUGCUUCCGCUGCAUCGAGCAGCAGCAGUUCGGGCAGAGGACGCCACCUCUGCCCCGACCCUGCCUGGACUCUCCUCCUGCCGGCCUUCAAUGUCGUUCGUGCCUCCUCCGCCUCGAAUCUCGUCGUCUCCGCCGCCCGUCCAUGCCCAGCGCCCCGCCGCUUCAAGUCCCAGCGCCGCCUUCCCAUGCCUCGUCAGGCUCACCGUGUCCACGCCGUCCUGGUCGCACCCGCGGCGAGCACGUCGACGGUGGCUGGUUGUCGCUCCCGCUUCGCCCGUCUCCACGGUGUGCUAUGUUCGGUGGAAAAAGAGGAGAGAGGAGAGAGAGAAAGAGGGGUGAGUGGCUGA
Molecule: ribosomal RNA, 450 nt
Filed under: Triticum aestivum (bread wheat)
Lineage: Eukaryota; Viridiplantae; Streptophyta; Magnoliopsida; Poales; Poaceae
Description: partial small subunit ribosomal RNA
Source: RNAcentral